This 1007-nucleotide long non-coding RNA is filed under the name Trifolium pratense (red clover). RNAcentral's name for it is "long non-coding RNA (TPRA_LNC001813)". Lineage: Eukaryota; Viridiplantae; Streptophyta; Magnoliopsida; Fabales; Fabaceae. The record is from RNAcentral.
CUCCGUCCGUACUUCCUUGUAACUGGAGCUGCGACUAUAGAUGCAACAAAACCAGAAAUGUAUAAAGUAGAGGUAAAUGCAGAAAUGCCCUGAUUGUUAUACUUGCAAUAGUUAUUUUCAUGUGCUUCCAGUUUAUGUUUGUACACUGCAGGGAAGAAAAUCUGAAGAAAGUCAUCCAUGGAAGCAACUCCUCCUGUUAACAAUGUCACAUGUGUAAAUUUUCUGAUAAUAAAUAAAUGACUAUAAAGAUUCUGAUAAAAGGAGAGAUCAAAUGUGUAUGUAAAUUUGUGGACUGUAGGGAACUGUAGGAGAUUCGGCUGCAAUGAAUCUAAAUCCGAUAAAGUCCCGGUUUGAUUAAUAGGGAGGGGAGAUUUCUAUGAAUUUCGUUAGGUGUCAGAUCAUCAUAAUAGAUUAUACCAAUGUCUUUGUCCCAAAGGCAAGAGUUGUGUCAAAGUCAAAAUAGUAGAUAUCAUGGAAUUUAUGAGAUUCAUUUUUCUUUCCUUAUUCUCUCAUCAAAUCAAGUCUUAUAUAUCAGUGAAAUUCAAUCCAUCCGUCCCCUUUCAGCUUACAAAUACGGCUUUGUCUAAUGUGCACAAGUAAAUAAGUAUUGCACCACUUGCUUGAGGUUUUGCUGCGGUGCCGACUUGCUUGGUUUCGGCCUGAUUUUUGUGGUGGCAGAUUCCGGCUUCUUAGGGGUUUGGUUUAUUUUCACUGAUUUCCUUUUGUUUGUGUUGGAGCGUAUUUUUUUUGUUUUGCUCAGUUUGUAGGGGCCUUGGUUUUGGUUGUAUAGGUGGAUCCUUGCCCUUUGUUUUUGAGGGGCUUUAUGCUCUGUGCUGUAAGGUGUUUUCUCUCCUUUUUCUUGCUCCUUCAAAUACUUCUUGUAUUGAAGGAAGCUUAAUAAAUUUGCUGAUUCAAAAAAAAAAAAAAAGUAUUGCACCAUCUACAAGUUUGUUUUUCACCGUUAAAUCAAUAUGUCUCAUCGUAUCUCGUUUGAACUUAUUGUGAGA